GUGAAUUAAACAUGCUCGGUGUCUUCGCUUCGGCAAGGCCCUUGCUUAAAUCACAUCCUAACACCUGUGAACUGUAAGACGUAUGAUGAGGUCUUUGGCCAAGUCAUCGUCUGCCCAUUUUUAACAAACAAUUAAUGUAACAAACGUAGUCUUAUUAUAACCUAAUA
This 167-nucleotide unclassified non-coding RNA is filed under the name soil metagenome. RNAcentral describes it as "partial internal transcribed spacer 1". The record is from RNAcentral.